RNAcentral lists this long non-coding RNA (670 nucleotides) under Pongo abelii (Sumatran orangutan). RNAcentral's name for it is "lincRNA". Lineage: Eukaryota; Metazoa; Chordata; Mammalia; Primates; Hominidae. The record is from RNAcentral.
CAUUCUUCGUUGUAAAUUGCUUCUAAACACUUCUGAAUUUUAAAUUGCUACCGAGAAGGUCCAGAAACCGUUCUCAUCCAAUUUAGUCACUUUUAUUACAUUCCACUUUGCCUCCCCUAAUCACUGCGGAGGCUCCCAGUUUCAGCGCGGCCGCAUUUUGAAAAGGCUGAAGGUAGAAAACUCUGGAAUGGAGAGGCUGGCGACUGGAGUAGGAUCCAGGGGCUUUAAAUUUUAACCUGAGUGCGAUCGAAUGCGCGACUCCCAGAAGAGAUAGCCAGGCGUCCGCCCGGCCGCUCAACCCCCGCCAGGACUCGGAAUGCCUUGCUUUUGGUUCUUUUCUACAAGGAUGUCUACGUGGAUAUCCCUGGACACUUGAUACCCCCCCGGGGACCUGCUUUUCCCGCAGCUCCGCAGACGCGGCGGGAGGGCGCGCUGGCCCCGGCGCUGCUGGGACAGAGGUGAGCGGCGGGGUGGACAUUGACCGAUUCGACAACGUUCGGGCUCUAAGGGCUCGGGAAGGGACCCAGCAUUUUACUCUCCAGAUUCCCAAUCUAUUUUUUAAAAUAAUGUUCAAAACAUAUGGGAAAAAUAAGUGAUUGCUCCUUUUCAUGGUCACAGAUUGUAUUUAUUUUUUCAGACUGGUUUUCCAACCUAACGAGAGAAUGGGUAG